RNAcentral lists this unclassified non-coding RNA (548 nucleotides) under Sordariales sp. KO-groupD 2014. RNAcentral's name for it is "partial contains ITS1, 5.8S rRNA and ITS2". The stretch from base 208 to 361 matches the Rfam family "5.8S ribosomal RNA". The record is from RNAcentral. Lineage: Eukaryota; Fungi; Ascomycota; Sordariomycetes; Sordariales.
UGGUCCAUUAGAGGAAGUAAAAGUCGUAACAAGGUCUCCGUUGGUGAACCAGCGGAGGGAUCAUUACAGGGUAGCUUUAUGCUGUAAACCCCCAACCAUUGUGAACGAAGCUUAUUCGCAGUUGCCUCAGCGGGUGGUUAUGCUACCCGCCUGAAGCACGCAAACUCUUGUUUUAAUGUCAUCUCUGAGUAACUUUUAAUAAGUCAAAACUUUCAACAACGGAUCUCUUGGUUCUGGCAUCGAUGAAGAACGCAGCGAAAUGCGAUAAGUAAUGUGAAUUGCAGAAUUCAGUGAAUCAUCGAAUCUUUGAACGCACAUUGCGCCCGCUAGUAUUCUGGCGGGCAUGCCUGUUCGAGCGUCAUUUCAACCAUCAAGCCCUAGGCUUGUGUUGGGGCUCUGCGGCUGCCGCAGUCCCCUAAAAGCAGUGGCGGACUCGCUGUCAUACCGAGCGCAGUAGCAUAUCUCGCUCUGGGCGUGGCGGCGGGUACCGGCCGUUAAACAAUCCAUCAAGGUUGACCUCGGAUCAGGUAGGAAUACCCGCUGAACUU